This 253-nucleotide ribosomal RNA is filed under the name uncultured bacterium. RNAcentral describes it as "partial 16S ribosomal RNA". It matches the Rfam family "Bacterial small subunit ribosomal RNA", at positions 524 to 776 of the family's 1533-position model. The record is from RNAcentral.
UACGGAGGGGGCAAGCGUUGUCCGGACUUACUGGGCGUAAAGGGUGCGUAGGUGGGUUGGUAAGUCAGUGGUGAAAUCUCCGUGCUUAACAUGGAAACUGCCAUUGAUACUACCGGUCUUGAAUUUUCUGGAGGUCAGCGGAAUAUGUCAUGUAGCGGUGAAAUGCUUAGAUAUGACAUAGAACACCAAUUGCGAAGGCAGCUGGCUACAGGGAUGUUGACACUGAGGCACGAAAGCGUGGGGAGCGAACAGG